UUGUGGUCACAACACAUUGAAUCAUUGGUUCUCAUAUGAUCACUGAAGUUAAGCAACCUAGAGUCUGCUCAGUACCUAGAUGUCUAACCACUUGGGAAUACCAGAUGCUA
Molecule: non-coding RNA, 110 nt
Organism: Acanthosepion pharaonis
Lineage: Eukaryota; Metazoa; Mollusca; Cephalopoda; Sepiida; Sepiidae
Source: the annotation of a GenBank genome assembly